AAAAGAAUUGUGCUUGUUGAUUUGAGCGUAUACCAUUUGAUGUUGUUUUAUAGGGAUUACAAGAAGUAUCUGGAUGAAGAACAAACUCUUCAAACCAAGGAGAAGUAUUUGGAUGAAGAACAAACUCUUCAAACCAAAUUUACAGAUAAUACAAAAGAUAAAUAACCUAUUUUAUAUUCGAAAUACUUGCAACAGAUAAGGCUUAUCUCAACCUUCCUUUGGACUAAUCUGAUUGUGAUCUUCAGUAAGUGUUGUGGCGGGAACCUUUGAAUUCGGACUUGGUUUAUCA
This 289-nucleotide long non-coding RNA is filed under the name Malus domestica (apple). Its description in RNAcentral is "long non-coding RNA (MDOM_LNC009565)". Lineage: Eukaryota; Viridiplantae; Streptophyta; Magnoliopsida; Rosales; Rosaceae. The record is from RNAcentral.